Molecule: long non-coding RNA, 413 nt
Organism: Harpia harpyja (harpy eagle)
Lineage: Eukaryota; Metazoa; Chordata; Aves; Accipitriformes; Accipitridae
Exons: 3
Source: RefSeq, a predicted model, not a curated record
CCCCAGCGAGAUGGCAGGCUGGGCAUUUCCAGUGCGCUCUCCUCCGGCCGCCUUGCCCCGGAUUAAGGCCACUCGGCUGGCACCGGCGCCGAGAGGGUUACGUUCCCACACCCCUCCUCUUCCAUGAGAGCCCACAACAAACGCCCGGCGGCUUCAAGAAGUUUGCCGCAAUUUGCCCCAGCCGGGCCGCCGUUUUCUCCCGGGGACCGGGAGGUGCCCGCGGACUCCCGCAGGACAAGCGCGGCCGCUCCCAGCCCCGCCGCGCCCCGACCCCCGCGCCCGCCCCGCCGGUGCGCGCCCUCGGCGCCGCGGCAGAGGCCGGAGUCGCUGCCGCUCUCCGCGCCCGCCCCGCACCUUGCACCGCGCUCAGCACCCACCCGCGCAGGAAAAUAAAAUGUUUGCCGCUUAUGAUU